Long non-coding RNA from Peromyscus leucopus (white-footed mouse), 732 nucleotides. RefSeq lists it as uncharacterized. The record is from RefSeq and is a predicted model, not a curated record. Lineage: Eukaryota; Metazoa; Chordata; Mammalia; Rodentia; Cricetidae. The transcript is spliced from 4 exons.
UGUCACAGUGAACUGGUCAAAGGCUCUGAGCACCUGACUUUUGUGGGGGUGUUAGAAGAGAAUGGUGACCUUCCACUGGGUUAUACACAAACCAGAAAAUCUAGGUUGGCUUCUGAGAAUUGUGAAGACUCAUUUCAAGUCUGGAGUCCCGGUCCACAGUGGGUCCCCAUGGACUAGACUUUAAUGUAGAACAAGGGCAUUACGGAGUCUGAACUUCAUAUAUAGCUGAGGAUGUUCGUGAACCAGGAUCUUCCUAACUCUACCUCCCAAGUGCUGGGAUCACAGGCACGUGUCAACAUAACCUGGUUUAUUAUGUUGUUGUUCAUUGCAAGGUCUACCUGCAUGCCUGAAGCCUCCAAUGUUCCCUCGCUGCAGUUGACCGGAUGUGGUUCCCACUUCCGAGUUGUCCUCCAUACUUCAGGCCAAACCCCAGGGAGGGAUGGCCAGGAGACACUCAAGUUUGUUUAUGUGUCUAGACUGGAUGCCUCUUGGUCAUCACGGUGCCACUGAUGUCACGGUCAUCAUUAUCACUGUCGUCAUCACGGCCCUCUUCCUCGUGGUUGUUUCUGACAGGUGCUGAUGUUACAGUGACGAAAAAGCAAUGAAUACACCAAGUACUGACCUACAGAAUAUCAACUCUGUGACAGAAUGAAAUCCAUUAGUUUAAUAGAAAAAAGAAAAAUAAAAGCUUGAAAGUCCCCUACAGAUAAAAGUGUCAAAAAUUUUUUAAAA